This 505-nucleotide long non-coding RNA is filed under the name Bos taurus (domestic cattle). RNAcentral describes it as "long non-coding RNA NONBTAT021527". Lineage: Eukaryota; Metazoa; Chordata; Mammalia; Artiodactyla; Bovidae. The record is from RNAcentral.
GGUAAGAACGUGAACAAAAAUUUUAGAAAGAUGAUUGCCUGACUGUACUAAAACUAAUUAGGAGCCUUCUAUAAUAGAUGACAAUGGCUUGAACCGAGGUACUGGUAGGAGACUCAGAAUAUUAGGCAUCAGAAAGACAGAAAAAGUACACUGAAUGCAAACCUUUGUUUUCGAGGAAAUUUCUUUAAGAGGCAGAUCUUUAUAUCUUUCUAUUUGAUUUUGCUUUUCCAAAACUACAGAUGGGAAAAUACAACAAAGAAAUAGUUGUAACAAAGCAGGAAAAAAUACAGAACCCGACCUUGGGGAAAUCAUUCAAUAAACAUCUACUGAUCAACCACCAUUGAUACAUACUGCUCCUUGGAACAAUUCUCUGUAUACCCUAGAAAGUUAUAGAAAGGCUUAAAUUCUUUGCUAAGCUUCAGGAUAUGUGCUAUCUGAUGGAAAAGGGCAUUUCUGAGCGCUGGGGGCCCUUCUUAUAGGAUAAAAUCUUUUAGAAAAUAUUUCA